This 65-nucleotide transfer RNA is filed under the name Vicugna pacos (alpaca). Its description in RNAcentral is "tRNA-Und (NNN) (tRNA-Und-NNN-57-1)". It matches the Rfam family "tRNA". Rfam says of the family: Transfer RNA (tRNA) molecules are approximately 80 nucleotides in length. Their secondary structure includes four short double-helical elements and three loops (D, anti-codon, and T loops). Further hydrogen bonds mediate the characteristic L-shaped molecular structure. tRNAs have two regions of fundamental functional importance: the anti-codon, which is responsible for specific mRNA codon recognition, and the 3' end, to which the tRNAs corresponding amino acid is attached (by aminoacyl-tRNA synthetases). tRNAs cope with the degeneracy of the genetic code in two manners: having more than one tRNA (with a specific anti-codon) for a particular amino acid; and 'wobble' base-pairing, i.e. permitting non-standard base-pairing at the 3rd anti-codon position. Lineage: Eukaryota; Metazoa; Chordata; Mammalia; Artiodactyla; Camelidae. The record is from RNAcentral.
GGAGGGGUAUAGCUCAGUGGUAGAGUGCAUGCAUGAGGUCCUGGGUUCAAUCCCCAGUACCUCCA